Acanthosepion pharaonis is the source of this 113-nucleotide non-coding RNA. The record is from the annotation of a GenBank genome assembly. Lineage: Eukaryota; Metazoa; Mollusca; Cephalopoda; Sepiida; Sepiidae.
UUGCGACCAUAUCACGUUGAAACAUCGGUUCCUGUACGAUCACCAAAGUUAAGCAACAUCGAGAAUAAUCAGUACCUAGAUUGGUGACCGAUUGUGAAUAUCAGAUGCUGUAA